GCUGGUGUGGCUCAGUGGAUAGAGCGUCGGCCUGUGGACUCGGGGGUUCCAGGUUCGAUUCCGGUCAAGGGCA
This 73-nucleotide transfer RNA is filed under the name Myotis davidii. It matches the Rfam family "tRNA". Rfam says of the family: Transfer RNA (tRNA) molecules are approximately 80 nucleotides in length. Their secondary structure includes four short double-helical elements and three loops (D, anti-codon, and T loops). Lineage: Eukaryota; Metazoa; Chordata; Mammalia; Chiroptera; Vespertilionidae. The record is from Rfam by way of RNAcentral.